GUUUUCUACCUGUUAAGAGUAUGUCAUAUAAAGUAAGAUUCUUCAGUGGUUAAAAGGAACUGAGUAGUAAGUAAAAUGGUAAGUCACUUGGUAGUGUAGUGAGUCUCCACCAAAUGCCAAGGAAGUUACUCAUAGUUUCUAGACAUAGCAAGAGCAUUCUUAGUCACUUUUAUAUCUGAGGUUAACUGAGUUGCAGAGGCAGGAAAUAACAUCAUGAAAAGAUGGUGAGACUUUCUUCAAACCUUACAACUAACCGCUGUUCAACUACACAUCUCAUCACCACAACAACUGUUAAAAACGUCAGCAUGUGGGUAGAGCUCUAGAAGCUGGAAUGAAAGAAUUUAUACAUGUUGUACUUCUGUGUGCCCAUGUGCUCACCUUGAGGCCAGCAUCACCAGUUCUGCCAAACCUUUGCCUACUGACCUGCAGCUCUCUCUACAUGAUUGCAAAUGUUGUUUCAAACGGUAAAGUCUUAAGAGCCAGUGACUGAUGUGUUUGGUCCCUGCUGAAUGCUUCCCGCUAAGUGCAACACAGACAUUAAAAGGCCUGGGCUAUGUUGAUGAGCAGGGAGGGAAGAUUUGUCAAAGGGACAUUGAUCUCUGUCUUGAUUCUCCACUUCCAGCAGUGCUUCUCUCCCAGGAUCCUGGCGACUUUCCCAGGAUGCUCAGCGAAGGUCUUUUCUCCAAACUUUUCCUUUCAUAAGUAACUGUAUGAACUGGACUGAACAGAAGUUUGAAGGCUGACAUGUUUUCAACAGCCCUCCUUUAAAGACUAGCUUAAAUGUCAUUUGUGUUUUCUGUGAAGACUCUACUGACUUCCUGAAUCAGUCACUUCCUCCUGUGGGAGACCACACUUCGUUGACACUCUAGCAUAGUACAAUGAUGCAGCUGUUUAUAAUUGCACACAUACACAAACUGCCUAUUUGUAUAUGUAUACUGCUAACGCCAUUGGAAGGUCUGCCUAACAGGAUAUAAGUAUAAAUUAUAACAAAUGUUUCUGUUAGUUUUAUUUAAAUAGGAGGAUUCCUGGAUAUUUAACAGCUCAUGCAGUAGUAGUUUAGGAAUUAGAGAGUCAAACAUUGGGAAUACCAAUUAAGAAUAUUUUAGAUAACAAGCAGCUUUCAAGUCUGAUAACACUGGGUGUGGUGACUCUAGAGCAGUUCAUCCCAGCCAUUGGAAUGUUGAAGCAGGAGGGAUGCUCUGAGUGGAGGCCAGCCUGAGCUACAUAGUGAGCUCCAGGCCUGCCUGAGAUACAGAGUCAGACUGAGAACUCUGCUUCUGGCAUUUCACUCUGCUAUCUCUCCUGAGAACUGGACGAUCAGUUUUGGGUAUGUUCACAAUGCACAGAACAUUACCAACCUUCCAUUUUUGUUUCUUCUAAUUAGUCUCCGACUGUGCUACCUUACACCCCUGACUCUCAUUUCUGCCCUGAUACCGUAAAUACCGUGACAUUCUAGUCAUUUUAAUUGUGAAACACAGGCAUGUCUAUUUUUAAAGAGAUGAGGGAAGUAGAGCACAGCACCCAUUGCUCUUUUUCAGUCUUCUUAUUGUAAAAUUGGGGGCAGGGAAGAGAGGCACUCAUCAGAGUUUGUCAUAUGAAAACAUCCAUGCUGGUCUGAGGUAUGAAUGACACUUUCAUCUUUCAGUACUUCAUUCAUUUCUGAUGGUUCGUUCCUAUGCGGUUGGUCUCUAUAAAAACAGAGAGCUCAGUUUCUUGGAGAGAUGUUCACUUCUCAAAGUGGUCUCACUCCAGCCCUGCCUUCCCCACAGUCCUACUGCAGUGCUUUUCCAGGUGGGGGAAUCCCUCUCUUGGCCCUGUGGCUUCAUGAACUGCUCUAGAGAUUUUGCACCCUGCCCUAAACAUUGCAUGCAUUCCCAGGGAGCCUUAGAAAUGAUUACUUCUCUUCAAAGUGUUCUCCUUUUUCCCAAUAAGCUUCAUUGCAUAUUUAAAGGUAGAUAACACAAAGUGUUGAUGACUUGAAGCCCUAAAAGGGAGCUAUGCUAGUGAGUUCCUGCAUUCAGAAUAUCUAAACCAGGUAUCUGAAACCAUGCCGACAAUCUUGCCUUCUCCUGCAUCUGUUGUGAAGCCCUCCUAAGAAUCUCUUACUGUGUUCCAUCCGGAGCUCUGCAGUGAGCCUGGAGAUCUUAAAGAUGAACAGUGAGUAAGAAGACAGAGGCACCUUUUGUUGGCAUCCCUACCUGCUAAGAUUCUCUUGAGUACACUCCUUGACUUGGCUUUCAGCCAUAUGUGCGUGUCUGUAGACACUGGUUCUCCUUCUAUCAGUCCAUGAUGCUCAAGAACUGAAUGACAAGGGGCCCUUCUAGUCAUGGCAUACAUAGACUCAUGCAGCUCAGAAGGGCCUCAAACCUGCUGGGUACCAGAGGUUGACCAUAAGCUGCCAGUCCUCCCGCUGUCUCAUCCCAAGCGCUGGAAUGAUAGGUGUGAGCUCCACAUCCACCCUAGAACUUUGUGAUUGUGCAGAGAUGGAGAUGGGUCCUUUGAAAUACAAUCACCUCCUGAGGGGAAAGCCUUCAUUGUUGAGAUGGCUGGCAAGACUUCCGUCAUGUGAGCACAUCCCUACCAAGAGCCAACUAUGAAUCAGGAAGAAGCCCACUCCACACACUGGAUUUCCUGGCAUGUUGACCUUAGACUGUCUAGCCUCCAGGAGUAAGAGGCUACACUAACAGAAAUCUACUCAAAGUAUAUUAUGACACGUGUAAUGGGAGCACGCCCCAACGUGGGGCUACUACAGAUAGAUGGCAACUACAGAUGUCACUGCAGCGUGGACCUGAGCAUGGGGGACAGAAGUGAUGGACGCCACAAAUGGACACCAUGUGUGUAAAGUGUGAAGUGAGCGCUCAGAUAAAAGUGAAG
Molecule: long non-coding RNA, 2874 nt
Filed under: Cricetulus griseus (Chinese hamster)
Lineage: Eukaryota; Metazoa; Chordata; Mammalia; Rodentia; Cricetidae
Description: lncRNA (ENSCGRG00015038380.1)
Source: RNAcentral